Molecule: small nuclear RNA, 163 nt
Organism: Sorex araneus (European shrew)
Lineage: Eukaryota; Metazoa; Chordata; Mammalia; Eulipotyphla; Soricidae
Product: U1 spliceosomal RNA
Exons: 1
Source: RefSeq, a predicted model, not a curated record
AUACUUACCUGGCAGAGGAGAGACCAUGACCAUGAAGCUGGUUUUCCCAGAGCAAGAUUUAUCCAUUGCACUUUAGAUGUGCUGACCCCUGCGAUUUCCAAAAUGUGGGAAACUCGACUGCAUAAUUUGUGGUAGUGGGGAACUGUGUUUGCACUCUCCCCAG